GGGGGCCCGCAAGCGGUGGAGCAUGUGGUUUAAUUCGAUGCAACGCGAAAAACCUUACCUGGUCUUGACAUCCAUAGAAUUUGAUAGAAAUAUCAAAGUGCCUUCGGGAACUAUGAGACAGGUGCUACAUGGCUGUCGUCAGCUCGUGUUGUGAAAUGUUGGGUUAAGUCCCGCAACGAGCGCAACCCUUAUCCUUUGUUGCCAUCAGGUAAAGCUGGGAACUCAAAGGAGACUGCCGGUUAUAAACCGGAGGAAGGUGGGGACAACGUCAAGUCAUCAUGGCCCUUACGACCAGGGCUACACACGUGCUACAAUGGUAUAUACAAAGAGAUGCAACUCUGCAAGGAUAAGCAAACCUCAUAAAGUGUAUCGUAGUCCGGACUGGAGUCUGCAACUCGACUCCACGAAGUCGGAAUCGCUAGUAAUCGUGGAUCAGAAUGCCACGGUGAAUACGUUCCCGGGCCUUGUACACACC
RNAcentral lists this ribosomal RNA (475 nucleotides) under uncultured bacterium. RNAcentral's name for it is "bacterial SSU rRNA". It matches the Rfam family "Bacterial small subunit ribosomal RNA", at positions 915 to 1391 of the family's 1533-position model. The record is from RNAcentral.